RNAcentral lists this ribosomal RNA (401 nucleotides) under uncultured bacterium. RNAcentral describes it as "bacterial SSU rRNA". It matches the Rfam family "Bacterial small subunit ribosomal RNA", at positions 335 to 753 of the family's 1533-position model. The record is from RNAcentral.
ACUCCUACGGGAGGCUGCAGUGGGGAAUAUUGGACAAUGGGCGAAAGCCUGAUCCAGCCAUGCCGCGUGAGUGAUGAAGGCCUUAGGGUUGUAAAGCUCUUUUAUCCGGGAAGAUAAUGACUGUACCGGAAGAAUAAGCCCCGGCUAACUUCGUGCCAGCAGCCGCGGUAAUACGAAGGGGGCUAGCGUUGCUCGGAAUCACUGGGCGUAAAGGGCGCGUAGGCGGCCGAUCAAGUCAGAGGUGAAAGCCCAGGGCUCAACCCUGGAAUUGCCUUUGAUACUGGAUGGCUAGAGACCGGAAGAGGUUAGUGGAACUGCGAGUGUAGAGGUGAAAUUCGUAGAUAUUCGCAAGAACACCAGUGGCGAAGGCGGCUAACUGGUCCGGUUCUGACGCUGAGGCG